Long non-coding RNA from Ictalurus punctatus (channel catfish), 2423 nucleotides. NCBI's taxonomy places the organism in Eukaryota, Metazoa, Chordata, Actinopteri, Siluriformes, Ictaluridae. The record is from Ensembl.
CUCCACUCUCACAGCCACCUGGCCUCACGCUGGGACAGCUGGCCGUCUCCGGCGGUGCAGACCAGAGUCUCCUCGUAACGUCUACUCUCUGUUUACCGCCGCUCGCGCGAGUCAAAAACCGAGUCCGGCUUAUAUAUUGUGAGGAGAAGCUCACUAGGCAGGGUGUGGAGGUGAUGCCGGGCUAAUUUGGUUAGCAUGGUGCCUAUAAACAGGGCGGCAAUGGUGAUUAGGACGGUUACGUGUUUACUUCAUCGGUGUGGAGAGAAAAAGGAAGCGAGGUGGUCUCGGUCCACUUCUAAUUGCAGUGAGAAAGCGAUUUGUGUACCAAUCAGAUUCUGACCAAUAGGCGUGAAAGUGCACUUUGAUAUCAGUGCGAUCUUUAUUCUGUAUUUUGAGCUGUAUUUUUGGGACUUUCCAGAUAUUAGCACUAGCAUUAACAUUAACAGCUCUAGCUAGAAUCAAAGCUAACUCCAAUUUCACAGGUAGCAGCACGCAGGCUUUAGCGGGGUUGUGCCGUGGAGCGAGGCCAAAGCGGGGAUCACACAGGCUUCGGAGCUUUGAAAUAGUUUCCGACAGAUUGGGCAGUGUGUUGACAUCAGCGACAUUCCUCGCAGACACAACUCUGAGCAGUGACGGAGAGCAGCCGGUCUGUUCCAGGCUGGUGAGCUGGGAAACAUAUCAUACCGUCCUAAUGGUUUAAAGGGAUACUCCAGCAUUUUAUAAAACUCAUUCUCUACAUUCGCUAUGUACUGGAAAAACAACAACAACAAAAAAAAAAUCACAAAAACUCAAAGUCUAACUCACUUACAUUUGAUGAGACUGGCGUGAGAGAAGUUUUACCAAAGCUUUUCAUAGAUUUUAUGCAACUUUAUAAUCCAACGCUGAAGCAAUACAGUGUAAUGUGUACUGUUUAAUGUCAUGUGUUAAGCCGUGUUAAUGUGUUGCGAUGCUUUUUUAACCCGUAUCAAGCCGGAAAAACAUAGAAAAGAGGAACACAAUGGCAGUAUUAAUAUCCUUGCAUGUGACACACUGCGGCAGCCAUUUUGAUUUUUGCUUAAGAUUUAUUUCCAUUUAUACAACUGCGAAGUCUGGAAAAACUUGGAGAGCAAACAUUGCUAACAUUAACGAAAGUUAGCUGAUAUACUAGUGAGCUAGUCAUUUAGUGAGCUAAUCAUUUAGUGAGCUAGUUAUUUAGUGAGCUAGUCAUUUAGUGAGCUAAUCAUUUAGUGAGCUAAUCAUUUAGUGAGCUAGUUAUUUAGUGAGCUAGUCAUUUAGUGAGCUAAUCAUUUAGUGAGCUAGUUAUUUAGUGAGCUAGUCAUUUAGUGAGCUAGUUAUUUAGUGAGCUAGUCAUUUAGUGAGCUAGACAAUUAGUGAGCUAGACAAUUAGUGAGCUAGUAAUUUAGUUAGCUAGACAUUUAGUGAGCUAGACAUUUAGUGAGCUAGUAAUUUAGUGAACUAGUAAUUUAGUGAGCUAGACAUUUAGUGAGCUAAUCAUUUAGUGAGCUAGACAUUUAGUGAGCGAGUCAUUUAGUGAGCUAGUAAUUUAGUUAGCUAGUCAUUUAGUGAGCUAGUCAUUUAGUGAGCUAGACAUUUAGUGAGCUAGACAUUUAGUGAGCUAGUAAUUUAGUGAACUAGUAAUUUAGUUAGCUAGACAUUUAGUUAGCUAAUCAUUUAGUGAGCUAGACAUUUAGUUAGCUAGACAUUUAGUUAGCUAAUCAUUUAGUGAGCUAGACAUUUAGUGAGCUAGACAUUUAGUUAGCUAAUCAUUUAGUGAGCUAGACAAUUAGUUAGCUAGACAUUUCCUUAGCUAGUCAUUUAGUGAGCUAUUCAUCUACCUGAACACGAAGAGCCGCUCGACUCCUGUGCUCUUAAAUGCUUUGAGAUUAAAUACCUACAUCAGGAAAAUACCAAUUCGGCACGUCUUUUGCUAGUCUAAGUCAGUAGUCUAAAUCAGCAGUUCAGAAGAAAGUUCAUUUAUUAUUUACUAUUAUAUACUAUUUAUUAUUAUUCUGUUCCGUAAUUUCAUUUAUCAGCUACCCCUUGUUACGCUUCGUUUCCGUCCCAAAUAGGAAAUUCUAUGUGGGAUCCUUUUAAUCCUUACCAUACAUAUAUACAAACACACACACACACAGGGGAUGUGUCGAGGUGUUUAGUCAUUUAGUAAAGUGUGUAUAUCUCAUUCUGUAGCCUAGGGUCAAUGACAAAAAUAAAUGACACCCAUGUGGUAACCCCCUUAAAUUUACUUAAUGACCAGAAUCACUAUUAAAUAUGAGUGCCAUUGAACAGGCUCUGAACAGGUCCUCUGUGUCUGACUGCUUAUAUAGUGAUCGUGUAGAUUUAAUUGGUCUUUGCGGGUCACUGACUGCACUUGAAUGCAGCUGUUGUGGGGUGUGAAAGUGUGUGUGUGUGAGAGAGAGAGAGAG